RNAcentral lists this long non-coding RNA (903 nucleotides) under Homo sapiens (human). RNAcentral's name for it is "HSALNT0203373". The record is from RNAcentral. Lineage: Eukaryota; Metazoa; Chordata; Mammalia; Primates; Hominidae.
AAAAAUCAAGAAGAACAGAAUCUGCAAUCAAUUUGGGAAAGAUGUUAAAAGUAAAAUAACUACUGAUGGAAGGAUUUGAAAUUGCUUUGAAAAAAUGGAAGCCAGCAUUUCUUAAUCAAUCUUGGGAUAGUUGGACACCUGAUUUAAAAGGACGACUGAUUGACUUCAGAAUCUGCCAUUAUGAAGCCUCCACAAGAAAGAAAAAUACAACUGAAGCCUUGCUAGGAAAAUUGAAGUCAAUCUUGAAGGAAAUACAAAGAUACCUGGCCUUGGAAUGAAACUUACACCAUCAGCUUUCCUGGUCCUGAGGCCUUUGUACUUGGACUGAUCCACACUAUAAGCAUCCCCAGGUCUUGAAUGCAGAGAGUCAUGGGAUUUCUCAUCCUCCAUAAUCAUGUAAGCCAAUUAUUUUAAUAAAUCCCCUUUCAUGUAUCUAUAUCUAUCUAUCCUAUUGGUCCUGUGUCUCUGGAAAACCCUGACUCAUACAGCAGUGCAAAGAUUUUAUGAGGAGGCAUGCUACCAUAAGACAAAAAAUGGAAAGGGGUUCUGGAAUGAUGAAAGAACAGUCAGACUUCAAUGCAAGUAUACCCAUAAAUAAAAGAAAGAACAUAAAAUUGGAUGGACACAUCCUAGAUUGCCAGGUUGUCUAAUAAAUGAUUGGUUUGGGUGUCACUGCUCUUUUUUGAAAGUGACCAGAGGAGUUUGGUGUGUCCCAGGAGUUGACUUGCCUUAGUACACUCCCUCCACAUUUUGUAAUUAGCUGGUAGCAGUGUGGGGGAGGCAUGGGUGCAAACAGUGUAAUAGAUUUCAGAGAGCUGCCGAUGGAGACUCUUGUAAAUUGCACUUCUAGUAGGUGGAGAAUGGAGGUGCAUUAUCCUCCAAACUAGACUAUAUAUAUAUAUA